RNAcentral lists this long non-coding RNA (438 nucleotides) under Helianthus annuus (common sunflower). RNAcentral describes it as "Bacterial large subunit ribosomal RNA". It matches the Rfam family "Bacterial large subunit ribosomal RNA", at positions 90 to 554 of the family's 2925-position model. Lineage: Eukaryota; Viridiplantae; Streptophyta; Magnoliopsida; Asterales; Asteraceae. The record is from RNAcentral.
UUGAAGGCUUAGAAGAGCCAAAAUCUUCCAAAAAGUUGGUUGGAAGAUCUGUUGCAAUAUAAUAUAUAAAUGUAUUUGCGCUAAUGUUGAAUAAAAAACAUUCAGAACCCAUGUGAUUAUGCUUUCAUGCAACUUCUUUUUGCGAUAUAUGAUGUGAUUAAUACAUGAUUGGAAUAUUGAUUGCGCUAUUACUAGAUUCUUGUCAUGCCGCUAAGCGAAGUAGUAGAAUGUUGUACCCUAAGGGGCGAAAGUUAAGUUGCCGAAAGCAUUACUAGCUUACGCUCUAACUUGAGUAGCACUAGGCACGUGGAAUCCCGUGUGUAUCAACAAGGACCACCUUACAAGGCUAAAUACUCAUGGGUGAUCGACCGAUAGCGAAGUUGUACCAUAAGGGAAUGAUGAAAAGAAUCCCCAUCGGGGAAUGAAAUAGAAUAUGAA